UACGGAGGAUGCGAGCGUUAUCCGGAUUUAUUGGGUUUAAAGGGUGCGUAGGCGGCCUGCCAAGUCAGCGGUAAAAUUGCGGGGCUCAACCCCGUACAGCCGUUGAAACUGCCGGGCUCGAGUGGGCGAGAAGUAUGCGGAAUGCGUGGUGUAGCGGUGAAAUGCAUAGAUAUCACGCAGAACCCCGAUUGCGAAGGCAGCAUACCGGCGCCCUACUGACGCUGAGGCACGAAAGUGCGGGGAUCAAACGGG
RNAcentral lists this ribosomal RNA (252 nucleotides) under uncultured bacterium. RNAcentral's name for it is "partial 16S ribosomal RNA". It matches the Rfam family "Bacterial small subunit ribosomal RNA", at positions 524 to 776 of the family's 1533-position model. The record is from RNAcentral.